Molecule: long non-coding RNA, 495 nt
Organism: Musca domestica (house fly)
Lineage: Eukaryota; Metazoa; Arthropoda; Insecta; Diptera; Muscidae
Exons: 3
Source: RefSeq, a predicted model, not a curated record
UUGGUUUGACAGUUCAUUAUCCCAGCAGCUAUAUCGAUGCAACUAUCUGUAUUCCUCUACCAUGGCUGUCACAUCCGAUCCAGAACAUUUUAAUGGGAUAAUUCUAAUCGUUAGAAUCUAAUGUCGAAUAGGGCAGGCUGCGUGAGGAGGGCGGAGAAAAAAACGGAAUACCUAUUACACCGCUGUCCUGCUCAAUCAAACCUACUAGCAAUGGAGGAACAUUCGACGCAUGAUCUCGAUGUGAAUUCAAAUCCCGGCUUUACUUGCUAGGGCGCUGUAUUUAAAACACGGCUCUUUUCCCGCAGAAUGAUCAUAAUGGACCGGAAGGUCUGAGUGAAUCAAUCUUGAAACCGAUACGCCUUAUUGCGAAUAGCAGGUUGAACCUUUAAAAUAUCGAAAAUCAGGAGCUGAUUUGAUUGGGUCUAUACCAAAAAAUGGCCCUAUAUUUGGCAUUUUUAAUACCAAUCACCAUUGGAGUUAUAUCAAAAACGAACU